AUGAAGGGCAUCGAGAGACUCUCCACUACUGCUGAUUUGCUAAGCUUCAUUGACCUAUGGCAUCAGAUCAACCAAAUCACUCUCUCUGACCAGCCAGAUGAGAUUGACUGGAGAUGGACUAGCAACAACAACUACACCGCUGCCUCGGCCUACAAUGCCCAGUUCACGGGAUCCAUCAUGAAGCCCCAGCUUAAUGCAAUCUGGAAAACAAAGGUGGAGGGGAAAGUUAAAUUCUUUGCUUGGCUCCUGGUUCUGAAUCGCCUGCCCACGGCUGACAGACUCCGUGCGAGAGGAUGUGAUCAUAAUGACACAUGCUCCCUUUGCGACCAAACUAUUGAAUCGGCAUCCCACCUAGUCUGCCAUUGCCCCUUCGCCAAGGAAGUUUGGCACAAAUUGGCUGUCCUGCAACCUGAUGUCUAA
RNAcentral lists this ribosomal RNA (420 nucleotides) under Triticum aestivum (bread wheat). Its description in RNAcentral is "partial small subunit ribosomal RNA". Lineage: Eukaryota; Viridiplantae; Streptophyta; Magnoliopsida; Poales; Poaceae. The record is from RNAcentral.